AGGUCAUCGUGUAUCUUGUCGUGAACUGAGACCUGUCCCGCUAGUUGUGCAGCUCUCUGCUGGGGCAGACCGUGCAGUAGGAAGUCCGAUGGGUCAUAGUUUGGAUCGACGUCCAUACUCUCCUCUGUCGUGUGUGUAACGAUCUACAUACCCCGCCUCGAAGAUGAUCUGUCUCUACAAUGGUGUAAUUCUCUUCUUCACCUCCAAGCCAAGUUCCAAUUGAAUCAAUCUCGGCCUGUUCAAGGGCACGCUCCUGCACAAGUGAAAUGCUCCGCUCCAGCUGUGUCAGGUGGUCUCCAUACUGGAACAAUGCUCAGUGUUACCAACAUGCAGCAGCACAGGAUUCCUAUUCAUUUACUAGAGCUGUUCACAUGUCAUCAUCAUCGUCAUCACUCCCAGUAUUAAAAGGGAACAAGAAUGGCUGAACAUCUGGCAAAUCCCUCAUUUCAUUGAGUAUGGACUCCAGAAUGGUUGACAGUACCACCACUGGAUCCGUGCGUCGCCUGUUUGCUGGUCGCUGUUGACGUUUCAAAUAGUCACAGUGCAUCUCAUUAACUGCACGCCGCUUUUUCCUCGAAUUAACAGCGUCUUUGGGCACUUUAAGCAGCAGAGUUCGGCGCUUCAUUUCUUCAGCAUGCUGGAAAGGUUGGUCUUUCAUUACAGCCACAAUGGGAAGCCAAGAGGACGGCACAAAAUGAUGGGCGCAAUACCUGUUCUCUUGAAAUCAGCACAGAGCUUUAACCUCUUCCUGAUACUGCUCUCAGAAUGAGAAGGAAAUGCUCUUUUAAUAUCGUCCAUCUUUAUCCUGCGAGGCAAGUCUCGGCUCUUCCAGAACAGACGAUAUAUGAAAACCUGAAACAUAUAUUCAGGAUAAAAACAAUUUUAUCUUUAGAUCACAGAUGUGAGACAGAGCUAAUGCUGGCUGAUGGUAUCACGAAGUGGCAGCACUGUGUGAGGCCCAGGAUGUGCAAGAAUUCCAUGCGAGAACCUCUUCAUGGGUGGACGAUGGAAGUUACGCAGUCUCAUCGGACCCAUGUGGGUCUGCACAAAAGGUGCACGCAGCUCUAC
Molecule: long non-coding RNA, 1068 nt
Organism: Zootermopsis nevadensis
Lineage: Eukaryota; Metazoa; Arthropoda; Insecta; Blattodea; Termopsidae
Source: RefSeq, a predicted model, not a curated record